GUGAACGCUGGCGGUAGGCCUAACACAUGCAAGUCGCACGGCAGCACAGUAAGGGCUUGCUCUUACGGGUGGCGAGUGGCGGACGGGUGAGGAAUACAUCGGAAUCUACUUUUUCGUGGGGGAUAACGUAGGGAAACUUACGCUAAUACCGCAUACGACCUACGGGUGAAAGCAGGGGAUCUUCGGACCUUGCGCGAUUGAAUGAGCCGAUGUCGGAUUAGCUAGUUGGCGGGGUAAAGGCCCACCAAGGCGACGAUCCGUAGCUGGUCUGAGAGGAUGAUCAGCCACACUGGAACUGAGACACGGUCCAGACUCCUACGGGAGGCAGCAGUGGGGAAUAUUGGACAAUGGGCGCAAGCCUGAUCCAGCCAUACCGCGUGGGUGAAGAAGGCCUUCGGGUUGUAAAGCCCUUUUGUUGGGAAAGAAAAGCAGCAGGUUAAUACCCCGCUGUUCUGACGGUACCCAAAGAAUAAGCACCGGCUAACUUCGUG
This 491-nucleotide ribosomal RNA is filed under the name uncultured bacterium. RNAcentral describes it as "partial 16S ribosomal RNA". It matches the Rfam family "Bacterial small subunit ribosomal RNA", at positions 29 to 507 of the family's 1533-position model. The record is from RNAcentral.